This 523-nucleotide ribosomal RNA is filed under the name Salmonella enterica. RNAcentral's name for it is "partial 23S ribosomal RNA". It matches the Rfam family "Bacterial large subunit ribosomal RNA", at positions 161 to 621 of the family's 2925-position model. The record is from RNAcentral. Lineage: Bacteria; Pseudomonadati; Pseudomonadota; Gammaproteobacteria; Enterobacterales; Enterobacteriaceae.
AAUCCAUAGGUUAAUGAGGCGAACCGGGGGAACUGAAACAUCUAAGUACCCCGAGGAAAAGAAAUCAACCGAGAUUCCCCCAGUAGCGGCGAGCGAACGGGGAGGAGCCCAGAGCCUGAAUCAGCAUGUGUGUUAGUGGAAGCGUCUGGAAAGGCGCGCGAUACAGGGUGACAGCCCCGUACACAAAAGCGCAUGUGCUGUGAGCUCGAUGAGUAGGGCGGGACACGUGGUAUCCUGUCUGAAUAUGGGGGGACCAUCCUCCAAGGCUAAAUACUCCUGACUGACCGAUAGUGAACCAGUACCGUGAGGGAAAGGCGAAAAGAACCCCGGCGAGGGGAGUGAAAAAGAACCUGAAACCGUGUACGUACAAGCAGUGGGAGCCCCACCACUAAGCCAGUGGUGAACUCCACAUACGCAUCCUUUGCUGAGGAGACGGUUAACGGAGCGAAAGCGACGUUCAACCGCAAAAGAAGCAGAGGGGGCUUAGUGGUGGGGUGACUGCGUACCUUUUGUAUAAUGGGUC